ACGAGUUCUCGUUGAUGAUCGGUGCUUGCACUGAGAUUCAACAUCGAUCGAGCGGCGGACGGGUGAGUAACACGUGGGUAACCUGCCCUUAAGUGGGGGAUAACAUUUGGAAACAGAUGCUAAUACCGCAUAGAUCCAAGAACCGCAUGGUUCUUGGCUGAAAGAUGGCGUAAGCUAUCGCUUUUGGAUGGACCCGCGGCGUAUUAGCUAGUUGGUGAGGUAAUGGCUCACCAAGGCGAUGAUACGUAGCCGAACUGAGAGGUUGAUCGGCCACAUUGGGACUGAGACACGGCCCAAACUCCUACGGGAGGCAGCAGUAGGGAAUCUUCCACAAUGGACGCAAGUCUGAUGGAGCAACGCCGCGUGAGUGAAGAAGGCUUUCGGGUCGUAAAACUCUGUUGUUGGAGAAGAAUGGUCGGCAGAGUAACUGUUGUCGGCGUGACGGUAUCCAACCAGAAAGCCACGGCUAACUACGUGCCAGCAGCCGCGGUAAUACGUAGGUGGCAAGCGUUAUCCGGAUUUAUUGGGCGUAAAGCGAGCGCAGGCGGUUUUUUAAGUCUGAUGUGAAAGCCCUCGGCUUAACCGAGGAAGCGCAUCGGAAACUGGGAAACUUGAGUGCAGAAGAGGACAGUGGAACUCCAUGUGUAGCGGUGAAAUGCGUAGAUAUAUGGAAGAACACCAGUGGCGAAGGCGGCUGUCUGGUCUGUAACUGACGCUGAGGCUCGAAAGCAUGGGUAGCGAACAGGAUUAGAUACCCUGGUAGUCCAUGCCGUAUACGAUGAAUGCUA
This 788-nucleotide ribosomal RNA is filed under the name uncultured bacterium. RNAcentral describes it as "bacterial SSU rRNA". It matches the Rfam family "Bacterial small subunit ribosomal RNA", at positions 57 to 818 of the family's 1533-position model. The record is from RNAcentral.